GAUAAACGCUGGCGGUGUACAUAAGACAUGCAAGUCGAACGGGAGAAGACAGGAAGAUUUAUCUACUUGUUGGACAUCGUGGCGGACGGGUGAGUAACACGUAAGCAACCUGCCUAUAAGAGGGGAAUAACAGUGAGAAAUUACUGAUAAUACCGCAUAAGCUGGAGGUAUCGCAUGAUACAUUCAGAAAAGAUUUAUCGCUUAUAGAUGGGCUUGCGUCUGAUUAGCUAGUUGGUGAGAUAACAGCUCACCAAGGCGACGAUCAGUAGCCGGAUUGAGAGGUUGAACGGCCACAUUGGGACUGAGACACGGCCCAGACUCCUACGGGAGGCAGCAGUCGGGAAUAUUGCACAAUGGAGGAAACUCUGAUGCAGUGACACCGCGUAUAGGAAGAAGGUCUUAGGAUUGUAAGCUAUUGUCGUGUGAGAAGAAAAUGACCAUCACAGGAGGAA
Molecule: ribosomal RNA, 452 nt
Filed under: Clostridiales bacterium oral taxon 075
Lineage: Bacteria; Bacillati; Bacillota; Clostridia; Eubacteriales
Description: bacterial SSU rRNA
Rfam family: Bacterial small subunit ribosomal RNA
Source: RNAcentral